Molecule: long non-coding RNA, 233 nt
Filed under: Trifolium pratense (red clover)
Lineage: Eukaryota; Viridiplantae; Streptophyta; Magnoliopsida; Fabales; Fabaceae
Description: long non-coding RNA (TPRA_LNC008188)
Source: RNAcentral
UUAUAUAAUUCAAGUCACAUAAUUAAAUUACACUGACCUCAGAGAAUGUGUCUUUCAUCCUUGUAUGUAUGGUCACUAAGCUUUAAUGGCUUUAGCCAGAUUCCAGGAAGUCUUUUACGACCUCAUCUCAAGCGGUUCAUAAAAUAAACAAAGAGAAAAUCGUUAUAUCAAGUCAUAAAACUCUUUCAAUAAAUUAAUACAAGGAUGUUAUAAUUUAAUUUGCCUUAAAAUUU